AAUACCGCAUACGUCCUACGGGAGAAAGCAGGGGACCUUCGGGCCUUGCGCUAUCAGAUGAGCCUAGGUCGGAUUAGCUAGUUGGUGAGGUAAUGGCUCACCAAGGCGACGAUCCGUAACUGGUCUGAGAGGAUGAUCAGUCACACUGGAACUGAGACACGGUCCAGACUCCUACGGGAGGCAGCAGUGGGGAAUAUUGGACAAUGGGCGAAAGCCUGAUCCAGCCAUGCCGCGUGUGUGAAGAAGGUCUUCGGAUUGUAAAGCACUUUAAGUUGGGAGGAAGGGCAGUUACCUAAUACGUGAUUGUUUUGACGUUACCGACAGAAUAAGCACCGGCUAACUCUGUGCCAGCAGCCGCGGUAAUACAGAGGGUGCAAGCGUUAAUCGGAAUUACUGGGCGUAAAGAGCGCGUAGGUGGUUUGUUAAGUUGGAUGUGAAAUCCCCGGGCUCAACCUGGGAACUGCAUCCAAAACUGGCAAGCUAGAGUAUGGUAGAGGGUGGUGGAAUUUCCUGUGUAGCGGUGAAAUGCGUAGAUAUAGGAAGGAACACCAGUGGCGAAGGCGACCACCUGGACUSAUACUGACACUGAGGUGCGAAAGCGUGGGGASCAAACAGGAUUAGAUACCCUGGUAGUCCACGCCGUAAACGAUGUCAACUAGCCGUUGGGAGCCUUGAGCUCUUAGUGGCGCAGCUAACGCAUUAAGUUGACCGCCUGGGGAGUACGGCCGCAAGGUUAAAACUCAAAUGAAUUGACGGGGGCCCGCACAAGCGGUGGAGCAUGUGGUUUAAUUCGAAGCAACGCGAAGAACC
RNAcentral lists this ribosomal RNA (810 nucleotides) under Pseudomonas chlororaphis. RNAcentral's name for it is "bacterial SSU rRNA". The record is from RNAcentral. Lineage: Bacteria; Pseudomonadati; Pseudomonadota; Gammaproteobacteria; Pseudomonadales; Pseudomonadaceae.